Long non-coding RNA from Dermochelys coriacea (leatherback sea turtle), 107 nucleotides. RefSeq lists it as uncharacterized. NCBI's taxonomy places the organism in Eukaryota, Metazoa, Chordata, Testudines, Dermochelyidae. The transcript is spliced from 2 exons. The record is from RefSeq and is a predicted model, not a curated record.
CUCCCAACCUGGGCUCCUGGAUCUUGAAGGUGGAGAAGGCACCUCUGCUGCAAAAGUUUCAACACUGCCACUAGCAUCUCCGUCCCAGAGGCUAGCGCAGAGAAGAA